GGGCGAUUAGCUCAGGGGGAGAGCGCUUCCUUCACACGGAAGAGGUCGUGGGUUCGAAUCCCUCAUCGCCCA
RNAcentral lists this transfer RNA (72 nucleotides) under Thermodesulfovibrio yellowstonii. RNAcentral describes it as "tRNA-Val". It matches the Rfam family "tRNA". From Rfam's summary of the family: Transfer RNA (tRNA) molecules are approximately 80 nucleotides in length. Their secondary structure includes four short double-helical elements and three loops (D, anti-codon, and T loops). Lineage: Bacteria; Pseudomonadati; Nitrospirota; Thermodesulfovibrionia; Thermodesulfovibrionales; Thermodesulfovibrionaceae. The record is from RNAcentral.